Molecule: long non-coding RNA, 2156 nt
Filed under: Rattus norvegicus (Norway rat)
Lineage: Eukaryota; Metazoa; Chordata; Mammalia; Rodentia; Muridae
Description: long non-coding RNA NONRATT015441
Source: RNAcentral
AGUCCGCAGUGGUGCCUCCUCCUCAACCACCAGCCUUCCAGGGGACUCCUUCAGCACUGCAGUCCCCAGUGGUGCCUCUUCCUCAGCCACCAGCCCUCCAGUGGACUCCACCACCUCUCCAGUUCAUAGUAGCACCUCGUUCCCAGCCACCAGCCCUCCAGGAGACUCCACCAGCACUGCAGUCCUCAGUGGUGACUCAGAUCCAGCCACCAGCCCUCCAGGGGACUCCUCCAGCACUGCAGUCCCCAAUGGUGCCUCUUCCUCAGCCACCAGCCCUCCAGUGGACUCCACCACCUCCCCAGUUCAUAGUAGCACCUCGUUCCCAGCCACCAGCUCUCCAGGGGACUCCACCAGCACUGCAGUCACCAGUGGCACCUCUUCCUCAGCCACCAGCCCUCCAGAGGACUCCUCCAGCACUGCAGUCACCAGUGGCACCUCGUCCCCAGCCACCAGCCCUCCAGGGGACUCCUCCAGCACUGCAGUCACCAGUGGCACCUCGUCCCCAGCCACCAGCCCUAUAUUGGACUCCUCCAGCACUGCAGUCCUCAGUGGCACCUCGUCCCCAGCCACCAGCCCUCCAGAGGACUCCACCAGCACUGCAGUCACCAGUGGCACCUCGUCCCCAGCCACCAGCCCUCCAGAGGACUCCACCAGCACUGCAGUCACCAGUGGCACCUCGUCCCCAGCCACCAGCCCUAUAUUGGACUCCUCCAGCACUGCAAUCCACAGUGGCACCUCGUCCCCAGCCACCAGCCCUCCAGGGGACUCCUCCAGCACUGCAGUCCUCAGCGGUGCUUCCACCCAAACCACCAAGGCUGUAUCAGACUUAGCUAGCACUCCAACCCACAAUGGCAUCAUGGUCCCAACUACCUGGUCUGCAUUGAGCUCAGCCACCAGUCCGGUGUACAGUGGUUCCUCAGCUACAACUAAUAGCUCUGAAUCAGACAUGGCCACCACUCCAGUGUACAGUGGCACCCCAUUCUCUUCUACCACGGCUACGUCAGCUAUCACCCCAGACCACAAUGGCUCCUUGGUGCGAACUACCAGUUCUGUGUUGGGCUUAGCUCCGCAAUGACACUCAGUCUUCAGUUCCAAGUCAGCAGCCCAUCUCUCCCACCAUCCCCGCCAUCUCCAGCCACAGUACUGUUAGCAGCAGCUCUUACUACAGCACAGCGGUCUUCCCUACCUUCUCCAGUAACAGCUCACCCCAGUUGUCUGUCGGGGUCUCCUUCUUCUCGUUGUCUUUUUACAUUCGGAACCACCCAUUUAAUUCUUCCCUGGAAGACCCCAGCUCCCGCUACUACCAAGAACUGAAGAGGAACAUUUCCGGAUUGUUUCUGCAGGUUUUUAACGGAGACUUUCUGGGGGUCUCUACUAUCAAGUUCAGGUCAGGCUCGGUGGUGGUAGCAUCGACUGUGAUUUUCCGGGAGGGCACUUUCAGUGCCUCUGAAGUGAAGUCACAGCUCGUACAACAUAAGAAGGAGGCAGCUGACUAUAAUCUGACUAUCUCGGAAGUCAAUGUGAAUGAGAUGCAGUUCCCUUCCUCUGCCCAGUCUUGGCCUGGGGUACCAGGUUGGGGCAUUGCCCUGCUGGUACUGGUCUGUAUUUUGGUGGCUUUGGUCAUCGUCUAUCUCAUUGCCCUGGCAUUGUGCCAGUGCCGCAGAAAGAGCUAUGGGCAGCUGGACCUCUUUCCAACCCGGGACACCUACCAUCCUAUGAGUGAAUAUCCUACCUACCACACUCACGGACGCUAUGUGCCCCCUGCCACUACCAAACGUAGCCCCUAUGAAGAGGUUUCGACAGGCAAUGGCAGUAGCGGUCUCUCUUACACCAACCCGGCUGUGGCAACCACUUCGGCCAACUUGUAGGAGCAAGUCACCCUACCCACUCGGGCAGUGGCAGUUGGCUCCAGCAGUCCACUCCCUCAGUGGUCGCUGCCAGACCCCUGCACUCUGAUCUGGGCUGGUGAGCCAGGACUCCUGAUAGGCUGAUCACAGCCUUCCUCAGAGGCUUUGUCACCACGUUAGCCUGGUGAAGCCCAGCCCUGCCCUGAGGGACACUGGGGUAGUGGUGGUUCUCAGAAGGACUGGCCUAGAAAACCUGGAGAUGGGACCCAAAUGUGGCUGAAUAAAAGAUGGCUUCCUGUUAGUUAUGCC